Molecule: ribosomal RNA, 474 nt
Filed under: Leifsonia sp.
Lineage: Bacteria; Bacillati; Actinomycetota; Actinomycetes; Micrococcales; Microbacteriaceae
Description: bacterial SSU rRNA
Rfam family: Bacterial small subunit ribosomal RNA
Source: RNAcentral
GAAACGGAAGCUAAUACCGGAUAUGACGUACGGAGGCAUCUCCUGUGCGUGGAAAGAAUUUCGGUCAAGGAUGGACUCGCGGCCUAUCAGGUAGUUGGUGAGGUAACGGCUCACCAAGCCUACGACGGGUAGCCGGCCUGAGAGGGUGACCGGCCACACUGGGACUGAGACACGGCCCAGACUCCUACGGGAGGCAGCAGUGGGGAAUAUUGCACAAUGGGCGCAAGCCUGAUGCAGCAACGCCGCGUGAGGGACGACGGCCUUCGGGUUGUAAACCUCUUUUAGUAGGGAAGAAGCGAAAGUGACGGUACCUGCAGAAAAAGCACCGGCUAACUACGUGCCAGCAGCCGCGGUAAUACGUAGGGUGCAAGCGUUGUCCGGAAUUAUUGGGCGUAAAGAGCUCGUAGGCGGUUUGUCGCGUCUGCUGUGAAAACCCGAGGCUCAACCUCGGGCCUGCAGUGGGUACGGGCAGAC